Molecule: ribosomal RNA, 442 nt
Filed under: uncultured bacterium
Lineage: Bacteria
Description: partial 16S ribosomal RNA
Rfam family: Bacterial small subunit ribosomal RNA
Source: RNAcentral
CCUACGGGUGGCAGCAGUAGGGAAUCUUUCACAAUGGGCGAAAGCCUGAUGGAGCAACGCCGCGUGCAGGAUGAAGGCCUUCGGGUUGUAAACUGCUUUUAUAAGCGAGAAAUAUGAUGGUAACGUAUGAAUAAGAAUCGGCUAAAUACGUGCCAGCAGACGCGGUCAUACGUAGGAUCCGAGCAUUAUCCGGAGUGACUGGGUGUAAAGAGUUGCGUAGGUGGCAUAAUAAGUGUCUAGUGAAAUCUGGUGGCUCAACCAUUCAGACUAUUAGCUAAACUGUUAAGCUCGAGACCGUUAGGGGUAACUGGAAUUUCUAGUGUAGGGGUGAAAUGCGUAGAUAUUAGAAGGAACACCAAUGGCGUAGGCAGGUUACUGGGACGGUUCUGACACUAAGGCACGAAAGCGUAGGGAGCAAACGGGAUUAGAUACCCCUGUAGUC